CCUACGGGGGGCAGCAGUGAGGAAUAUUGGUCAAUGGACGAGAGUCUGAACCAGCCAAGUAGCGUGAAGGAUGACUGCCCUAUGGGUUGUAAACUUCUUUUAUAUGGGAAUAAAAUGUUCCACGUGUGGGAUUUUGUAUGUACCAUAUGAAUAAGGAUCGGCUAACUACGUGCCAGCAGCCGCGGUAAUACGGAGGAUCCGAGCGUUAUCCGGAUUUAUUGGGUUUAAAGGGAGCGUAGGUGGAUUGUUAAGUCAGUUGUGAAAGUUUGCGGCUCAACCGUAAAAUUGCAGUUGAAACUGGCAGUCUUGAGUACAGUAGAGGUGGGCGGAAUUCGUGGUGUAGCGGUGAAAUGCUUAGAUAUCACGAAGAACUCCGAUUGCGAAGGCAGUUCACUGGACUGCAACUGACACUGAGGCUCGAAAGUGUGGGUAUCAAACAGGAUUAGAUACCCUUGUAGUC
Molecule: ribosomal RNA, 460 nt
Filed under: uncultured bacterium
Lineage: Bacteria
Description: partial 16S ribosomal RNA
Rfam family: Bacterial small subunit ribosomal RNA
Source: RNAcentral